Molecule: long non-coding RNA, 210 nt
Filed under: Phoenix dactylifera (date palm)
Lineage: Eukaryota; Viridiplantae; Streptophyta; Magnoliopsida; Arecales; Arecaceae
Description: long non-coding RNA (PDAC_LNC010297)
Source: RNAcentral
CACCACCCUUUCUUUUUCUCCCUUUUCUCUUGCGGCUGGAAGGAGGAAUGAAGGGAAGAGAGGUGCUACCAAAAUGCCCAAGAAAAACAUAAAAAAUGCUGGCCGAAAUCACCUCUCCCUUUUGAAAUGCAAAGGGAUAAAGAUGAGCUCCUAUUUUUUAGGAGCUCAUCCUUAUCUCUAUUUCAUGCCACCUAGGAGGGGCGUGCGCCC